UUUUUUUUUUUUUUUUGCAGUAAAUUUACUCCGUUCUUUUCUAUUAUAAUGGAUUGUCUACUGUAGUAAGGUAGUUUUACCAAGAAAUCUAAAAUAGAGGCACUCUCCAUAUCUUUCAAGUACAAAAGAAGAGUUGUAUGAUCACUUACUAAAAUAAAGUAUUUUAAAGUAGUACCCUUCAAACUUCAAUAGCUGCCUUUUUGGUUCAAGGCAUGAUUCAAAAGGAAAGUUUGAUGCUUUAUCCUUUUAUAUUUAAUAUUUCAUGUGCUCCACUUGUUGGAACUAUCAAGACGCUUUGAACCUUUUCCCCUUUUUUAAUUUUUGCUAUUUAAUUACUUUACGAUUAAUUUUUUAUAUACUGACGGUAUAUACAAUUUCACCAUUAGAUGAAUGACAUAUAAUUUAAAUUUAAAUUCAAAUUCAAAUUUUACAUAUAUGUUACGCAUCCAGUUGUGAUAGUGUAUAUAUUAUCAGUGCAUAUAAGAUUAACUCGCAACUUUAUUUGCUUUAGGGAUUUUUUUCCAUUUGCGGAAUGGGAUCAAUAGUGUUGGAGUGCACAUGGGGGAUUUUUCUUAAUUUGUUUUGUUUAGAUAAAGUUGCUGGAAGAGUUAAAGGAUUAGUUGUACAUUCCAAUGCCAACAUUUAAAUGCUUAGCUCCGAAGCCAAUGAGCAGAGUCCUAAAAGGCAUAUUCAUCAAUGACGGCUACCUAUUCUUUUUUGUCUAUUGAAAGACUUUUUCUAUUUUAAGUCUAUUUGCUACUUUACUACUAUAAAAAAUUCAUUUCCUUUCAUCUCUUCCUUUCAUGAGAGACUGAGUAACUUCAUUGUUUUCUUGGAUUUGUCUAACGGACAUGAGAUGAAGGAUUUUUUAGGAUUAAAUCUUAUAUAUAUUGACAGUAUAUACACUAUUAUCAUGAAUCAUACGUGUGAAAGUUGGAUUUCAAAUUUAAAUUUUAUAUAAUUGUCAUUUAUCCAAUACUAACAAUAUAUACACUGUCGAUGUAGAAAAGAUUAAUUCUUUUUCUAUAUCAUGCAUUUUGCCCUUGAAUUGUCUGCGGUGAUUUUUGGGGUGCAGAAACUAUACAAUGACUAAAUAGGUCCAAACAAAUAAAAAUGGGAGAAUCAAUUAGGCUAGGAAAAAGAAUUCAAAGACUAAAUCUGUCUUCUUAGAAGUUGGAGGAUCCCAAAUAAUCAAUCGGUCUGUCUUUGUUAAAAUAUAUUUCAAAUGUGAUAUUUUUAGAAAUAUAAGAUUAAUUAGGAUAAAUAAAUAAAUAAAUAUAAGAAAGUGUAGACAAAAUUAAAUAAAAAAAUAUAUAUAAAUACAAGGGAUAAUAAUAAUUAUCAGUACGUGUAUAUAUAAGAUUGGUAAUUUCAAUAUUCCCAACAUCAGUCCGUUAGUACAGUUUGUAUAUUUUGAGUUUCCGUACAAAAAAAUUAAUCCACACGUACAAUCAAUCAGCAGAAAGUUUCAUGUAAAAGUACAAAAUUUUGAGCUCUACCUAACCCACCCUAAUAUCAGAAUUAGUCUCACAUUUUGUUACCAUUUACUUGUCAAAUCUCAAAAUAAUCAGUCUCAUCAAUAUGACUUUUUUGUCACCACAAAAUCACAGCCCACAAUAUCUUCUCAAGAAUGCACUUCCCCAGUGUCACACGUUUAAAGAAUGGCAAUCCAGACCACCAAGCAAGAUGACAGAUUCCAUACACGGUUCUUGAACUUGUCAACAAAAUGAAAUAACAAAGCACGAUGGACGCACCGCUAUUGACAGUUUGUCUGGACGUCACAAAGUCCCCCCUCCAAAGAAGCAAUAUUUGCUAUUCGCCGCGACCAUAGCCUUUUAAGACUUGAUUAUGUGGGAGGUCAAAAUUUAAAUCGUGUCUUUCAUUACUUACUAUUAUGUGUGGAUCAGUAUGGCUGUCAUUUUAAAUGGUUUAAAUUCAUAUGAAUGUGCAUUGAACUCGUUUGGUCUGACGGUAGUUCAAUCUCUGUCGGUUCUCUUAUGAUUCAGUUGGACUCUCCUCCUCAAUAUAGAUUAGAGUAGGAAUAGGAGUAAAUAUACGAUAGAUAAAAAAAGUUAUAUUUGUUGGAAAUGGAAUUUUUGUAAAUAGGUAUCAUCUUAAUAUAAAUCUGAAUUAUAAUUGAAUUAAUGUAAAACUAACAAUUACGUUAAAAAUAUAUUAAUUUACAUCGAAAUUGUGCACAAUUUAGUUAGAGCUGAAGAGAACCUUAACUAGAGAGGCUUCGAAUCCAUAUUUAUUGGCUUGUUCUCAUUCCAAUUAAAAAAAAAAAAAAAAAAAAAAGGUAGCAUUCCGUUUAACUUGGCCAUAGAAGAGAUGUUCUUGAAGAUUUGAAAAAAUCAUGUGUAGCCUUGAAAAAACCAAAAUACAAAUUCUUCUACCUAUAAAUUUAUUGUAGUUUUACUCGGUUUGUUUUGUCGCACGUAAGCAAAUAUUCGUGGCCCAGUGUCAUUCAUUAUUUCACUCCUGCAAAUAAUGUCAAAUUAAGUGUAAAAUAGUACUACUAUUAUUCCUAGAAAACCCUCCACUAUGCUGGAAUAUUAUUAUUGCGAAUCCAAACAAGUAUUCCAAACUAUUUUGACAGAAAAAAAAAACCACAAGUAUUCCAAACCAUAUAUUUAUUUAUUUAUUUAUUUUUAUUUUUUUCAAAUGGCAAACUAAACAUCGCCAAGUGGGACAUUUCCAUCUUUCCAAAGCUGCAAGUUGAAAGGAUAUUUAAUCCCAAAAGAAACCAUUCGGCCAAAGAUGGGGGCUAGCGGACAAUAUGCUAGUUGCCGAGUAAAGAUGGCUUAGAAUUUCAGAAGACUCUGCGAACUUUCACUUAUUCAAAGUCCAAACAACAAAAACCAGCGGAAAUGUAUAGGCAUCCUUUGUCAGGAGCAAGUCAGCCAACUUCCUUGUUCAUAACAAUUUUAUCUCCUUCCCCAGUCUUUCCUGAGAAUUGGACUCAGCCCAACUCAAGAUUCCUGAUACUAUACAUUGCACAGAUCCCCCUCUAAUCCAUUUGUUCUUUUUCCCCCGUAAAUCAAACGUUAAAGAUGAUGAAGACCAGGUGUCCAGAGGCCUAUAGAUUCUUCUGCAAUCCAGUCAAAGUAAUGGGGAUUUUUGUAGCUUCCUUGGUGGGGUUCUUGGUUUGGUUUUCAGCAGUGAACGGCUGGCCUUCCUAUGGCUUUCAAUGGAGUCAGAAACCAGGGAAAAAAGGUAUCUAGCUAGCUCCUGCUUUGCUAUUGAUUACUUUUUUUUUUUUUUCUUUUUUGGCAGAAUAAAUCUCAUUGAUUUGUUUCUUUGAUUUGCAAAGAUAAUCCAAAAUUCAAGAGCUUGCUUGAAUCUGUUUAAGUGGUUUGUCUCUUGUAGCUUUUGCAUUGAACCAAUGAAUCUUGGAAGUUGCUGUUUUUGCUAAGUAUCUCCGCGUUUGAGUAAUUAUUGUGAAUUGGGUGCCCGUUGACCGAAUUUGCGUCAUUCUUAUGUGGAAUUAUUAUUACGAGGCAUCAUUACUAGCAAGAAUUACUAGAAAUUAAUACUAAGACUUUACACUCUUUUAAGAAAAUGCAAAUUAACUUAAAUUGCUUCUGAAUUUGGCAUUGUUUUGAUGAUUAUUACAUCUCCAAUUGCAAAAUUUAUAUACAAUUAGAACCCUUGAUCUUGUUCAUUAAAACUUUCUCCAAGGUGCAAAAGCAUGUUAGGUUAAUGUGCAGGUUUCCAAAUUAGAUUGACCUUACAAGAACCGACACUUUUUGGGAUAUAAGAUCUUGAAACUUAUGUCCUUCAUACUGUGAGAAAUUAAAUUGAUUAGGAUAUAAGUAAAAUUUUUGCAUACAUGAUUGAAUGGACCAAACCAACAUAGUCAUUUCUAGAUUAGGUACCUUCUCAACAUAAUGGGAUUUAUCCCAUUGGAAACUAUUGAUUGAGAGCUCCAAAAUCCGAGCAAUUAGUCAUGAAACACUAGAUUAGAAAAUCAAUCGAACAAAUGUAUAUGCACUAUGGACACAUAAACAAAUUUCUAUGGAUUAAAAUCCUCCUAAGAUGCAUAUUUCUACUGAUGGAAGAAUUAGUGAGAUAAUUAACUAGGUAGAUCCUAUUGUGGUACAUGAAACUACCUAACUUAUUAUUAGGCUAUUUGGUAACAUAUUCCAUUAGGUUGUUUUGGAUGGGAUUAGGUGUUUAUGCAUAUAAUCGGGUAAAUGCACAAAGAUAGACACAGUACUAUUUGGAGCAAAAUUUUGAUGCAUUGAACAAUUGAACAUAGUGGAAUUUAGAAAGUCAAAAGUGUCUACUCUUUGGACUAUUAUCCUCUCAGAUUACUUCAAACACGUUAUACUCUAUUUAAUUUUAGUCAAUUGUGAUUAAUCAUUACAAUAUCUUGUCAUUUUUGUUUUUGGUAAGGGAAAAUCUUCAUAUAUACUAUUUAAAUGUCUCUCUCUCUCUCUCUCUCUCUCUUAUUGGUCUCUUUUUUUUUUUUGGUUUAUUUUUUUAACCUAGCUAAGGCUUUGAAAUUUAAGAAUAAAUUUCCUAAAUUGAUGGAGAUAAAAAAGUGUUAAAUAAUAUAAUCUUUUAUACUUAUUUCUUUUUCAUUUUCUAAUUAGUGAAUUUUAGUGUCUAAUGUUCUAUGAAAUUCUAAUGAACAUGGUCACCAGGAUACCUAAUGGUCAAUAUAAUCCAAUGUAAAAUGUCUUUCUUCAUUAGCUAGAGUACUAGUCAGACUCUGACCUUCCCAUCUCCUUUCCUGCACCUUCUAAAACAUUUCAGGAGAAGAAAAAACAACCACCAGUAUAAUGAGUGAAAUUUUCAUAAUUGAAACUGUAUAUUAAGUUAUUGAGCAAUAUGAUUUUUUUUUUAAACCUACAUGAACAUUGGUAAUGUAUAAUGGUUUAUUGAGAUUUUUCCCAAAAAAAAAAAGGGUUCAUUGAGAGGCCUCAUUUUUUUCAAACAUGAGAAUAGUUGAUCCAUAUGUGGUUAAACAGCAAAAAACUUAAAGUUGCCAUGCCGCCCAUUACACCAAGUGUUCAUCAUAUUUCAUGGUCAAGAAUUUAUGGAAAUAACUCGCGUGAUCCUUCGAACUUUUGAAAUAUUUAUGUCGGCUCCCUGAACAUUGAGAACUCAAAGAUUUCUCUUUGUUUCAUUUAUCAGAUGUUAUUGUCUAAUUUUGUUUGGUGGGAGUUGUUCCAAAUUUUCUUCCUUUAGUUGAUUAGUAUCCUCUGGCUCAUUGAAUUGCUUGAGAAGAGGCUGUUGCCUCAUGUCUGUUAGCUUCACAUACAAAUUGCUCACAAUGAAAUAUUAGAGCCAUUUGCUUGACAUUUGCCAUCAUUGUCCUCAACUAUUUUUUCCAUAACUCUUCUCUUUUCUUUCCACAGAUGUUAAUUUGGACGACAUUAUAGAGCAGAUCAGGUACAUUGGAGAUUCUUUUCCCCGGCCAGUCGAGAUGCCAAAGGACAAGCUUCUUGGUGGCCUUUUCCCAGAAGGAUUUGAUGUAAAUACAUGUGUAAGUAGGUAUCAGUCAGCCUUGUACAGAAAGGAACAAAAACACCAGCCUUCUCCCAAUCUAGUCUCCAGGUUACGAAAAUAUGAAGCCCUGCAUAAACAAUGUGGACCAUUUACAGAGUCCUACAACAGAACCUUGGAAUAUCUCAAGUCAGGCAGCCAUGGCCAAGACACCAAUUCCACUGGUUGCAAGUACGUAAUCUGGAUUCCAGAGGCUGGUUUAGGAAACAGAAUGCUUAGCUUAUCAUCUGCUUUUCUUUACGCCCUGCUAACAAAUAGAGUCCUACUUGUUGAUCCAGGAAGUAGAGUUUCUGAUCUUUUCUGCGAACCAUUUCCUGAGGUUUCCUGGUUGCUCCCCUCUAACUUCCCCCUUACUGGUAAGUUCAGUAGCUUUGAUCAGAAAUCUCCUGAGACUUUUGGAAACCUGUUGAGAAACAGAAGCCAUGCUAAUUCAACUUCAUCUUCCCUGCCACCAUAUCUCUAUCUCUAUCUAGUCCAUGACUAUGAUGAGUUUGACAAGUGUUUCUUUUGUGAUCAUGAUCAUACUAUUCUCCAGAAUAUACCUUGGCUUAUUGUGAAAUCAAACAUAUAUUUUGCCCCAUCUCUUGUUUCAAUUCCAUCUUUUCAGCAAGAUAUUAGCGAUCUAUUCCCAAAUUUAGGAACUGUGUUUCAUUACCUGGGCCGGUAUCUCUUUAAUCCCACCAACUUUGUUUGGGGGCUUGUCACCAGGUAUUACGACAUCAAUUUAGCCAGGGCAGAUGAAAAGAUAGGCGUUCAGAUACGAGUACUAGACAAAGAUUUUGGUCGUUUUGAGCGCGUGCUAAAUCAGACUUUGGGUUGUAUGCUGAGGGAGAAUCUACUACCAGAAAUCAAUGGGACCAAACCUGUCGUCAUUCAAUCUGGAAAGCUUAAGACUAAAGCUCUUCUGAUUACAUCUUUAAGAUCUUGGUACUCUGAGGCAAUAAAAAGCAUGUACUGGAAACGUUCCACCGUCACAGGAGAAGUGGUUGAAGUACACCAGCCAAGCCAUGAGCAGUACCAGCAUACUAGAAGACGAAUGCACAAUAUAAAAGCAUGGGCAGAAAUCUAUCUGCUGAGCUUGACUGAUAAGCUGGUCACAAGCGGAGGUUCGACUUUUGGCUAUAUAGCUCAUAGUCUUGGAGGAUUGAAGCCAUGGAUCCUUUACAAGCCUGAGGAUCAUGUAAUCCCAAAUCCACCAUGUCAGCGGGGCGUGUCAAUGGAACCUUGCAUGCAUGCCCCUCCAUAUCAUGAUUGCACAAGUAAAAAAUGGACUGGCCCAGGUGGUAAACUUGAUCCUCAUGUACAGCAUUGUGAUGACAAAUGGUGGGGUAUUAAAUUUAUUGACAGAGAAUAGGACUAGUGACCAUUUUGUUAAUUCCUGAAGAAAUAGAAGAUAAAAUUUUCCCUUGUACACUUCAAUAUUUGUAGUGAUAUAGUCAAAAUAUUUGUUUCUUCUUUUAUCAAAGAUUGCCUGAAGGACAAUGUAGUAAGCCAGUUUUACCAGAGGGCUUCAUACAUGGCCAUUUCAACUUAACAUCUAAAACCAGGAACCACGGGCACCAUUUUGCUCCAGUAUUGCAAUUCCAGUUCCUGUAAAGCACUAACCAAAUCUCAUCAAGCAGCAAAAGCUCGAACAGCACAUUGGCAAAUCUAACCAAAUAGCAAAGAGCUUGGAUUGUAGGGAAACUAUGCUUAUAGCACCACAAACACGAUGCAUGCGUAAAACCUAAGAUACCGGCUUUAUGGGCUAACAAAUACAAUAUCACAUAACAUCUCCACUAUCAUAAGAGCUAUUCCUCGUUUAUUUGAGAGAAAUGAAACGAGAACCUUGAGCACGAUGCUAUGGUAGCCAUUGAUGCUGUUUUAUCCCUUUUUGGUCAAAGGAGACUUCGAUACUUCAAUACUGCUUCCAGGAGAAAGAGCCACACAUUUGAGCCAAGCUGAGUGAAUGGAACACUGGUUCAUGGCAGCUGAUGACUGCCCUAUUCAUCUAAAACAUGCUAUCUAGAGGUUUCUCACCUUCUCAUUGAUUAAACUGAUUACCCUCUGCUCAUUAUUCACCCAGGUGCUUCUGCACAAGAGAGAGAUUGAGCAAAUGCCCUGUCCCUGGCCCUACAGAAGUUGGGCUAGAGGAUAUUUGUUAUUAAGCAUAACUGAUUUCACAACUGGAUCCAAACAGCUUCACCAAGAAAUAUAUCUUAUACGAAGACAACUUGGAGAUGAAUGUAUACACAAAACAUUUACUCUGCAAUAAACCGCAAAGAUCCAUUACACAAGUUGAAAAGCAUAAUC
This 7806-nucleotide long non-coding RNA is filed under the name Coffea arabica (coffee). RNAcentral's name for it is "long non-coding RNA (CARA_LNC002986)". The record is from RNAcentral. Lineage: Eukaryota; Viridiplantae; Streptophyta; Magnoliopsida; Gentianales; Rubiaceae.